GAGCCGACGCUCAGCGUCUUAUCGCCAGGAUUUUUCGUAUCAGCCAUUCAACAGUCCCAAUCUCGUUCGUUGCUCGCAUGCCGCAUCUGACGGCAAUGCCCUAAUUGUUCUGGUCGAUCCCGCCAUCGUGACUGCCACCCGUCCCCCGAAAUCGGGUGAGCGUCUGAGGAAGGUCUUGCUUGCCGGGCCCGCGAGCAGGGCAGCAUGUACCACAUUUGCCCGCCCG
Molecule: unclassified non-coding RNA, 226 nt
Filed under: Hevea brasiliensis (rubber tree)
Lineage: Eukaryota; Viridiplantae; Streptophyta; Magnoliopsida; Malpighiales; Euphorbiaceae
Source: RNAcentral